Long non-coding RNA from Manacus vitellinus (golden-collared manakin), 1571 nucleotides. NCBI's taxonomy places the organism in Eukaryota, Metazoa, Chordata, Aves, Passeriformes, Pipridae. The record is from Ensembl.
GGCGGUGCCAUGGCAGGGUUCCCUGUGGCAGGAAGAAUGUAGCAAUGAACCAUGGGAGUUGUGGUCUCCCGGGUUCUCAGACAAUAUUUGAUUGUCAUUGGUUAGAGGGUCACGUGACAUGUUCAGGUGUGGUAUUUAAACCUUGGCAGUUUGAAUAAACGGUAAUUCUGCUCUGGCACCUGUUCGUGUCUGAGUGGGGUUCGUGCCUUGAACAGCACCUCAAAUGGCCGUCCGAUAAGGGACUUCAGCAGGUUACCGGUAACCAGGAGCAGAAGCUCUGGGGAACCUGUCCGGGGGUGUCCAUAUCGCCAAAACCAAAAGGAAGAAAAGAAAGAAUUCAGCGCGCUGGGUUACCUCUGCAAAAAGGAACAAAAAAGGAAGAAAAAAGGACCAGAAGAAAGGACAACAGAGCUUCAGCACAGAGGUAACCAAAAAUUGGCGAAUAUGGGAGGGUGGUUUACCCGUCAGGAGGGAAAUACUCCAAAAAUCAAACAAACAGCUGAAGCUAUCUCUCAACUUUUACAAGAACAGAGCAUAACCAUAGAAGAAAGUAAGUUAUGGGACUUGUUAUAUUGGAUUUCGUUGCAUGAACCUGCACUACCUCUGACUGGACCUUGUCAAGUGUCAUCUUGGAGGAAAAUAGGGAACAAAAUUAUUGAAAAAGCCAGUGAGGGAGAAACAGACGCCCUCAAGAAUUUGGCUACAUGGAAGGACAUUAUGAUAGCCUUGAAUAAGCACUACAGAAAGGCAAAUGCACCCAGGAGAGUGGACUUCCCCCCCCCUCACUCUUUUCCCCUCAACCCCCCCCCUUCAACCCCAGCCCCCCCUUCGACCGAGUGGGGCAGGGGGAGAAUGCACGUUGGUCAGGGGGGAUGGGGGGGAGGAGGAGCCCUUGGGGGGAACAGUGCAGUGGCAGCGUGUGGUGUGGAGGAGCAUGGCUUGGGGGCUGGCAGCAUGAGCAUGGCAGCAGGGGGGGAUGCUGGCUUUAUACCAGCGCCCAUGGCUGCAGUUGAGACCAUGCCAUACAGAGCAGCAAGCAGUGCUGCUGGAGCCGGGGACCGUUACAGAGCAGCGCCUAACCCUGGACUGUUACGGGACGACUGUUACACAGCAGUUGCACAGUCAACGUGCAGAAGGAGAGUGGCACCGGAGGCACCGCCAUGUUGCCCCUCCCGCGCAGCGGAAGUGAGGCCGCCUCCCCCAGGUUCAAGUGUUUCGCCGGGAAGGGGGGAGAAUGACUAUGAUGGACAAAUGGACAGCGAGUCUAUAGAGGACACAGAAGGAGAAACAGCUUCAGGAUUGGGUAGAGGUCCCUCCAUAGGUUUAUGGGAUAAAUGCAGGGAGGAAGCAUCUCGUGCGGGUGAUUGGAAAGUGGUAAAUGCAUGCCCUGUUAUAAAUCGACCCCGGCAAGGCCCCCAGUACCAAGCUUUAUCAUACGAGGUGAUCAAGGAUUUAAGGCAGAUAAUUAAAGAGAGUGGUGUCUCCUCACCAUGCUGCCUUCCAGGCACUUUGCUAUUCACUCAAAGCACAUACUAUUUUUUCUUUAACAUCUGUUACUUUUUAUUGUUUGU